Molecule: long non-coding RNA, 701 nt
Organism: Herpailurus yagouaroundi (jaguarundi)
Lineage: Eukaryota; Metazoa; Chordata; Mammalia; Carnivora; Felidae
Exons: 6
Source: RefSeq, a predicted model, not a curated record
GCGGCGGGGCUCCUUUCUUCAUGGCUCCUCUGCUCCCGCCCGCCCAGAGUCUGCAGCCACCGCCUCCAGGCGCCUCCUUCCCACCCACCGUGCCCCCUCUCAGCGCCAGGUGAAAGGGGAGAACAGAAAGCAUUGUCUUUGACUCAAGGAAGUUGCCUUGCCUAGAGAAAUAUAAGAUAUUAUACUCCCUUUGGUGAUAGACAACUGAAUAAUACGAAGCUUGAAGCCCAGCCAUCUUGUUUCAAGAAAACAAGAGCCUGAGUUCAAACUUGAAUACUGUCACUUACUGUGUAACUUUCAGCAUAUUGGUUACACUUCAGACACCUCACUUUUUUCAUGUAUAAAACAGAAUUUCUCUAUGAACGGAAACAUCUGUAAUACCUGCACUGAGAAAAAUCCCACUAACAAAUUUAUGCCCUGAAGCUGAGUUUCUGCUAAACAGUUUAUUUAAUGCUUUUAUUAAAACCAAAACAGAAAUCAGGACAAGGACAUCUCCUCUGCCAAUUCCUUUUGGAAAAAAAUUAUUAUCCUUUAAAUUUCUUCUAGAAGGCCUGACUGAACAGGGAGUUCAGUUGAAGUCCAUAAUAUUUAGGAGAUAAUUUGCUACUCAGUCUGGGCCCUCAUAGUGAAUUACGUCUGCCUAUCAACUUUGCAAUUACAGACCCACAAUUUUAUCAACCCACCUAUGAAUGAAUGUACUC